AUUUCACUCAUUUCUACCAAACACGCACGCCAUCAGACUCCCCUCCCUACUUCCCCUUCUUCUUCGAUUUCAAAACCACAACCAGACACCCACCUUCACACCUGAAUCCCUCAUUUCACCUGCGACUAGCCGGUGUCGGCGCAACUCAAGCCACCGGUGCCCCUCCUCCGAUGCGACACACCCACCCCCAUACACUCACACCCCUCGGUAAUCAAGAGAGCCGCCGUGUGCGGCGGCGAGACCAGAAAACGGGAGCAGAGAGAGAUAAGACGGAGUCCCGGUGGUCGGAGGCAGUGGUGAGCUUGGUGGUGGACCGGCGGUAGCGCCGCCGCUCACGGCGGCGGCGGCGAAGGCACAGGCGAUGGUGCUUAUGGUGAUAAGGAUGACGAGGAUUUUGACAUAAGCUGUAAUAAUCGUCAAGUUACGGCACGUUUCAUAAAAGUGACGAUGAGGGGGGGGGGUUUGCAUCAGGGUUGACGGAAGUGAUGGUGAUCGCCGGCGGUUUGGUCCGGUUGGAUCAAAUAGUCAGCAACUCAGUUACGAGUCAAAUCCAGCAGGUUCUGGGUGCUUCGGCUUGAGUCACUUUACAGUUUCGGGUGCGGGUCAACUCAGCUCGGUUUGGUUGACUCGGUCAAACCGAGCCAACUCGGUCAACACGGUCAAACCGAGUCAACUCAGUUAACUCGGUCAACUGAGAUUCAGUUCGAGUCAAUCGGUCAGCCACGGUUCGGGUGCGGUUCGACAGGCCAGAUUUUGGUUCGUGACAACUUUGGUCAACUGUGGUCAACACCGGUCAACAUCAGGUCAACUGCGGUCAAAAGCAGUCAACACGUGACCCGGUAACAAGUUUAAGUAGCGAGUUAUUCUUUUACUCGGUUCUAGAUUUUUAGAUUUAUUUAGUUAUACGCGACCGAGCUCGACCCGAUUCAAUUAGAUAUUAGUUGCGUUUUGAUAACAUUUGACGAGAAUAUUUAUUUUGAUAUAUUUUGUUUGCAAUAUUGUUGAGUUUUGAAUGGUUAACGACAAACUUUUAUUG
Helianthus annuus (common sunflower) is the source of this 1036-nucleotide long non-coding RNA. RefSeq lists it as uncharacterized. Lineage: Eukaryota; Viridiplantae; Streptophyta; Magnoliopsida; Asterales; Asteraceae. The transcript is spliced from 2 exons. The record is from RefSeq and is a predicted model, not a curated record.